This is a transfer RNA of Camelus ferus (Wild Bactrian camel), 72 nucleotides long. It matches the Rfam family "tRNA". From Rfam's summary of the family: Transfer RNA (tRNA) molecules are approximately 80 nucleotides in length. Their secondary structure includes four short double-helical elements and three loops (D, anti-codon, and T loops). NCBI's taxonomy places the organism in Eukaryota, Metazoa, Chordata, Mammalia, Artiodactyla, Camelidae. The record is from Rfam.
GGGGGUAUAGCUCAGUGGUAGAGCUCAUGCUCAGCAUGCGUGAGGUCCUGGGUUCCAUCCCCAGUACCUCAG